This 422-nucleotide ribosomal RNA is filed under the name uncultured bacterium. Its description in RNAcentral is "bacterial SSU rRNA". It matches the Rfam family "Bacterial small subunit ribosomal RNA", at positions 1076 to 1500 of the family's 1533-position model. The record is from RNAcentral.
UGGGUUAAGUCCCGCAACGAGCGCAACCCUAGCCUUUAGUUGCCAUCAUUAAGUUGGGCACUCUAGAGGGACUGCCGGUGAUAAGCCGGAGGAAGGUGGGGAUGACGUCAAGUCCUCAUGGCCCUUACGGGUUGGGCUACACACGUGCUACAAUGGCGGCGACAAUGGGCAGCGAAGGGGCGACCCGGUGCAAAUCCCAAAAAGCCGCCUCAGUUCGGAUUGUACUCUGCAACUCGAGUGCAUGAAGGUGGAAUCGCUAGUAAUCGCGUAACAGCAUGACGCGGUGAAUACGUUCCCGGGCCUUGUACACACCGCCCGUCACACCAUGGGAGUUGGUUUUACCCGAAGCCGGUGCGCUAACCGCAAGGAGGCAGCCGACCACGGUAAGGUCAGCGACUGGGGUGAAGUCGUAACAAGGUAGC